UUCCUGGUGGCUCAGUGGUAAAGAGUCUGCCUGCCAUGCAGGAGACCCAGGUUCAAUCCCUGGGUUGGGAA
This 71-nucleotide transfer RNA is filed under the name Bos taurus (domestic cattle). It matches the Rfam family "tRNA". From Rfam's summary of the family: Transfer RNA (tRNA) molecules are approximately 80 nucleotides in length. The record is from Rfam by way of RNAcentral. RNAcentral also lists the same sequence under 2 other names. Lineage: Eukaryota; Metazoa; Chordata; Mammalia; Artiodactyla; Bovidae.